GAGGGCGGCAGGCGCGCAGGCGCCCCGGGACCAUGCUGCCGUGGGUCCAGCUUUCCUGGGCUCGGUUGCGUCUCUCCCUGUUCUCCCGCGGUUCCUUCCGCUCCGUGGCCGUGCGUGGGCCACCCACCGGGAUCUCCCCCUCCUUUACUCCCCGUCCUCCCCGCUUUCUCUUAGGGUCCGAACCUAGGCCCCAGGCGCGCCGUGCAUGGGCCCUGCUACUCGCCCCACUGGCCAUUUCUUACUUUUACUGUGUAGAAACCAAGCUUGCCCAGACAGACCUGCAGAUCUCUGAGUUCAAGGCCAGCCUGGUCCACAGCCACAGUUCCAGGACGGCCAGGGCUACACAGAGAAACCCCGUCUUGAAGCCACCCCCCUCCCAAGGAAAAGAACCCCAAACAACAACAAACCAAAAAAAGGUCCCUUCCCUCCAUUCUCUGCUAAACUCAAGUCUGUGGUCCUGAAAGUGCCUCACAGUUGUGUCUGCUUGGACUUUUUAGAAGACCCACUAUUCUCGUCUUUCCGGUCCACUCCAGAUUCUAUGGAGCCUACAUUCAACAGCAGCCGUGGGAGGGAGCAAUUCUUCAUCCUAACUCAGUCUCCAGGAGUAUGGUUGUCAAGAGAAGGCAAGAACGGUGCUGCAGAGAGCCAGUGACAGCCCCACCCUGAAGCUGGCUGGAAGGAGUCAGGAGUACCACACCCUCAAGGCCCAGCCUUCAAACCCCGCCCCCCCCCCCCCGUCCCGUCCCAUCUCCUAAAGUCCCACAGCCCCCCCCAACACACACACCCUAAACUGCAGGGUGGGGACACAGUGCUCAGAAUGAGCCUGUAGGGGAGCAUUCCAGAUUCAAACCACUGCACAAACAAAAAAAUAAUAAAAGACGAAAUUAAUGAAAAUGAAUACAAAUGCAGUCAGUGAAUUCAGAGAACGGGUGUGCUGAGAAAUGCCGGUGUCCUGGAGGUUCCGGUGGAACGAGACCUCACCGGAGCACAAGAGAGAUACGGAGGACAAACCCUGGCACCUAACACCGAAAGGAGAGUGGCUUUAGAAAAAGGAGAAAGGGGAAAUAUGUAUAAAGGGAAAACAAGAGUUGAACAAUUAAUUAAAGAGCAUUUUCUGAGCCUCAGAAAGACUUGAUUAAAGGGGCUGAUAAAGUUCCAGGAAGGAUUAAUUAAAGAAAGGCAUAUACUUAGACAGACCCUGGUGUAAUUCCAGAAUUAUAAACUCCCAGACAA
RNAcentral lists this long non-coding RNA (1233 nucleotides) under Cricetulus griseus (Chinese hamster). RNAcentral's name for it is "lncRNA (ENSCGRG00015034167.1)". The record is from RNAcentral. Lineage: Eukaryota; Metazoa; Chordata; Mammalia; Rodentia; Cricetidae.